RNAcentral lists this ribosomal RNA (399 nucleotides) under uncultured archaeon. RNAcentral's name for it is "bacterial SSU rRNA". It matches the Rfam family "Archaeal small subunit ribosomal RNA", at positions 480 to 879 of the family's 1478-position model. The record is from RNAcentral.
CGGCUCAAGUGGUGGCCGCUAUUAUUGGGCCUAAAGCAUCCGUAGCUGGCCAGGUUAGUCCCCUGUUAAAUCCACCGAAUUAAUCGUUGGACUGCGGGGGAUACUGCUUGGCUAGGGGACGAGAGAGGCAGACGGUAUUCCCGGGGUAGGGGUGAAAUCCUAUAAUCCCGGGAGGACCACCAGUGGCGAAGGCUGUCUGCUAGAACGCGCCCGACGGUGAGGGAUGAAAGCUGGGGGAGCGAACCGGAUUAGAUACCCGGGUAGUCCCAGCUGUAAACGAUGCAGACUAGGUGUUUGGACGGCCACGUGCCGUUCUAGUGCCGCAGGGAAGCUGUUAAGUCUGCCGCCUGGGGAGUACGAUCGCAAGAUUGGAACUUAAAGGAAUUGGCGGGGGAGCAC